GUUAGGAAUAUUGGACAAUGGGCGCAAGCCUGAUCCAGCCAUGCCGCGUGAACGAUGAAGGCCUUCGGGUUGUAAAGUUCUUUAGCCGAUGAUUAUAAUGACUGUAGUCGGAAAAUAAGCCCCGGCUAACUUCGUGCCAGCAGCCGCGGUAAUACGAAGGGGGCGAGCGUUAUUCGGAAUCACUGGGCGUAAAGCGUGCGUAGGCGGUCUCGUAAGUUAGGAGUGAAAGCUCAGGGCUCAACCUUGGAAUUGCUCUUAAUACUGCAAGGCUAGAAUCUCGGAGAGGAUAGCGGAAUUUCCAGUGUAGCAGUGAAAUGCGUAGAUAUUGGAAGGAACACCAGUGGCGUAAGCGGCUAUCUGGACGAGUAUUGACGCUGAGGCACGAAAGCGUGGAGAUCAAACAGGAUGAGAUACCCGUGUAGUCC
Molecule: ribosomal RNA, 425 nt
Filed under: uncultured bacterium
Lineage: Bacteria
Description: partial 16S ribosomal RNA
Rfam family: Bacterial small subunit ribosomal RNA
Source: RNAcentral